AAUAUUGCGCAAUGGAGGGAACUCUGACGCAGCCACGCCGCGUGAGCGAUGAAGGUUUUCGGAUCGUAUAGCCCUGUCCUUGGGGAAGUAGGCGGCCAUGUAUGGUCAUUUGACGGUACCCAAUUCUUACGCCCCGGCUAACUCUGUGCCAGCAGCCGCGGUAAUACGUAGGGGGCAAGCGUUGUCCGGAAUUAUUGGGCGUAAAGGGUGCGUAGGCGGCCUUUUAAGUCAGAUGUGAAAGAACACGGCUUAACCGUGGGGUUGCAUUUGAAACUGGAGGGCUUGAGUAUCGGAGAGGGUAGUGGAAUUCCCAGUGUAGCGGUGGAAUGCGUAGAUAUUGGGAGGAACACCAGUGGCGAAGGCGACUACCUGGACGAAAACUGACGCUGAGGCACGAAAGCUAGGGGAGCAAAC
RNAcentral lists this ribosomal RNA (414 nucleotides) under uncultured bacterium. RNAcentral's name for it is "partial 16S ribosomal RNA". It matches the Rfam family "Bacterial small subunit ribosomal RNA", at positions 360 to 773 of the family's 1533-position model. The record is from RNAcentral.